This 465-nucleotide ribosomal RNA is filed under the name Vreelandella stevensii. Its description in RNAcentral is "partial 16S ribosomal RNA". It matches the Rfam family "Bacterial small subunit ribosomal RNA", at positions 338 to 795 of the family's 1533-position model. Lineage: Bacteria; Pseudomonadati; Pseudomonadota; Gammaproteobacteria; Oceanospirillales; Halomonadaceae. The record is from RNAcentral.
CCUACGGGCGGCAGCAGUGGGGAAUAUUGGACAAUGGGGGAAACCCUGAUCCAGCCAUGCCGCGUGUGUGAAGAAGGCCCUCGGGUUGUAAAGCACUUUCAGUGAGGAAGAACGCCUGGUGGUUAAUACCCAUCAGGAAAGACAUCACUCACAGAAGAAGCACCGGCUAACUCCGUGCCAGCAGCCGCGGUAAUACGGAGGGUGCGAGCGUUAAUCGGAAUUACUGGGCGUAAAGCGCGCGUAGGUGGCUUGAUAAGCCGGUUGUGAAAGCCCCGGGCUCAACCUGGGAACGGCAUCCGGAACUGUCAAGCUAGAGUGCAGGAGAGGAAGGUAGAAUUCCCGGUGUAGCGGUGAAAUGCGUAGAGAUCGGGAGGAAUACCAGUGGCGAAGGCGGCCUUCUGGACUGACACUGACACUGAGGUGCGAAAGCGUGGGUAGCAAACAGGAUUAGAUACCCGGGUAGUC